GUAGGGAUCUUCCGCAAUGGGCGAAAGCCUGACGGAGCAAUGCCGCGUGAGUGAUGAAGGUUUUCGGAUCGUAAAGCUCUGUUGCCAGGGAAGAACGCUUGGGAGAGUAACUGCUCUCAAGGUGACGGUACCUGAGAAGAAAGCCCCGGCUAACUACGUGCCAGCAGCCGCGGUAAUACGUAGGGGGCAAGCGUUGUCCGGAAUUAUUGGGCGUAAAGCGCGCGCAGGCGGUCAUUUAAGUCUGGUGUUUAAUCCCGGGGCUCAACCCCGGAUCGCACUGGAAACUGGGUGACUUGAGUGCAGAAGAGGAGAGUGGAAUUCCACGUGUAGCGGUGAAAUGCGUAGAUAUGUGGAGGAACACCAGUGGCGAAGGCGACUCUCUGGGCUGUAACUGACGCUGAGGCGCGAAAGCGUGGGGAGCAAACAGGAUUAGAUACCCUGGUAGUCCACGCCGUAAACGAUGAGUGCUAGGUGUUAGGGGUUUCGAUACCCUUGGUGCCGAAGUUAACACAUUAAGCACUCCGCCUGGGGAGUACGGUCGCAAGACUGAAACUCAAAGGAAUUGACGGGGGCCC
This 575-nucleotide ribosomal RNA is filed under the name Paenibacillus sp. RNAcentral describes it as "bacterial SSU rRNA". It matches the Rfam family "Bacterial small subunit ribosomal RNA", at positions 355 to 922 of the family's 1533-position model. The record is from RNAcentral. Lineage: Bacteria; Bacillati; Bacillota; Bacilli; Caryophanales; Paenibacillaceae.